This 467-nucleotide ribosomal RNA is filed under the name uncultured bacterium. RNAcentral's name for it is "partial 16S ribosomal RNA". It matches the Rfam family "Bacterial small subunit ribosomal RNA", at positions 28 to 506 of the family's 1533-position model. The record is from RNAcentral.
GACGAACGCUGGCGGCGUGCUUAACACAUGCAAGUCGAACGGAAAGGCCCUGCUUUUGUGGGGUGCUCGAGUGGCGAACGGGUGAGUAACACGUGAGUAACCUGCCCUUGACUUUGGGAUAACUUCAGGAAACUGGGGCUAAUACCGGAUAGGAGCUCCUGCUGCAUGGUGGGGGUUGGAAAGUUUCGGCGGUUGGGGAUGGACUCGCGGCUUAUCAGCUUGUUGGUGGGGUAGUGGCUUACCAAGGCUUUGACGGGUAGCCGGCCUGAGAGGGUGACCGGCCACAUUGGGACUGAGAUACGGCCCAGACUCCUACGGGAGGCAGGAGUGGGGAAUAGUGCACAAUGGGCGGAAGCCUGAUGCAGCAACGCCGCGUGCGGGAUGACGGCCUUCGGGGUGUAAACCGCUUUCGCCUGUGACGAAGCGUGAGUGACGGUAAUGGGUAAAGAAGCACCGGCUAACUACGU